This is a long non-coding RNA of Lycium barbarum (goji berry), 477 nucleotides long. RefSeq lists it as uncharacterized. The record is from RefSeq and is a predicted model, not a curated record. The transcript is spliced from 4 exons. Lineage: Eukaryota; Viridiplantae; Streptophyta; Magnoliopsida; Solanales; Solanaceae.
AGGCAUCACUUGUGGUUUGGGACAAGAAGCAGCUGGGCAGUAGGCACCACUUGUAGAGGUCGAUCCCACCGAUGAGGCAUUCCUAUUAACAGAUCUUGGGGAGUCCGAGACUUGAGUUGGGAUUAGCUUAGGAAGCGAGCAAGGUACAGACGCUCAUUGUGGUAAUCCGCCAGCUUAGGAUACCCAUUCUACUACUUUGGAGUGCUCCCUUGAUCCGGAGCCCAUACUUUUGGUACACCCAGAUGAGUAGAAGCUAUGAUAGAAGAUGUUCCAGCGGAGUUGGCAAACUCCAUUUGCCCUAGAGUGUUGCCGGGUCAGAGUACUAUGCUAUGAUGUCUUGUUCGAAGUUAGAGACUUUGCAGACAGAGUCGUGGGUAUAGAGUGUCGGUAUUGUAAACGGCUCCACCAGCCUAUGUGUCAUUUUAUGUUAUGUUAUAAAGUCUAUACGAUCAUAAAUUAUAUUUGAAUUGAGUACGA